RNAcentral lists this ribosomal RNA (637 nucleotides) under Mycobacterium sp. Se3Pw_3394. Its description in RNAcentral is "bacterial SSU rRNA". It matches the Rfam family "Bacterial small subunit ribosomal RNA", at positions 378 to 1027 of the family's 1533-position model. The record is from RNAcentral. Lineage: Bacteria; Bacillati; Actinomycetota; Actinomycetes; Mycobacteriales; Mycobacteriaceae.
GCAGCCUGAUGCAGCGACGCCGCGUGAGGGAUGACGGCCUUCGGGUUGUAAACCUCUUUCACCAGGGACGAAGCGCAAGUGACGGUACCUGGAGAAGAAGCACCGGCCAACUACGUGCCAGCAGCCGCGGUAAUACGUAGGGUGCGAGCGUUGUCCGGAAUUACUGGGCGUAAAGAGCUCGUAGGUGGUUUGUCGCGUUGUUCGUGAAAACUCACAGCUCAACUGUGGGCGUGCGGGCGAUACGGGCAGACUGGAGUACUGCAGGGGAGACUGGAAUUCCUGGUGUAGCGGUGGAAUGCGCAGAUAUCAGGAGGAACACCGGUGGCGAAGGCGGGUCUCUGGGCAGUAACUGACGCUGAGGAGCGAAAGCGUGGGGAGCGAACAGGAUUAGAUACCCUGGUAGUCCACGCCGUAAACGGUGGGUACUAGGUGUGGGUUUCCUUCCUUGGGAUCCGUGCCGUAGCUAACGCAUUAAGUACCCCGCCUGGGGAGUACGGCCGCAAGGCUAAAACUCAAAGAAAUUGACGGGGGCCCGCACAAGCGGCGGAGCAUGUGGAUUAAUUCGAUGCAACGCGAAGAACCUUACCUGGGUUUGACAUGCACAGGACGUGCCUAGAGAUAGGUAUUCCCUUGUGGC